Cyphellophora europaea CBS 101466 is the source of this 148-nucleotide transfer RNA. It matches the Rfam family "tRNA". Rfam says of the family: Transfer RNA (tRNA) molecules are approximately 80 nucleotides in length. Their secondary structure includes four short double-helical elements and three loops (D, anti-codon, and T loops). NCBI's taxonomy places the organism in Eukaryota, Fungi, Ascomycota, Eurotiomycetes, Chaetothyriales, Cyphellophoraceae. The record is from Rfam.
GUGGUUAUAGCUCAGCUGGGAGAGCGUUAGACUGAAGUCAAACUCAGUCAUUCUAUCUAAAGGCCCUGCGUAAGUGCCUCUGGACACUGUGAGUACGAGAGCACUCGUUCUAACAGAACCUUCAUAGGUUCGAUCCGCAGUAACCACA